Long non-coding RNA from Hordeum vulgare subsp. vulgare (domesticated barley), 2833 nucleotides. RefSeq lists it as uncharacterized. The transcript is spliced from 4 exons. The record is from RefSeq and is a predicted model, not a curated record. Lineage: Eukaryota; Viridiplantae; Streptophyta; Magnoliopsida; Poales; Poaceae.
UGGUACCAGUGACUAAGGUAUCGGCUAUAGUAUGCAGUGUAGAAAAUGUUCAGAAGAUAAUAAUAUCUUGCUUUUCUGUAAUGAUUUUUCUGUUUUUGUUGUAGAAGCUGAGGAAUGAUUUUUUUUUCUCUCCAGGGGUUUGUUGUAGAUGGAUGCCGUGGCACCGGCUGACUGGGACCUUGGGAAGAUGGCACAAGGAGGAGCUGUGGUGACAAAUCAAUCAUUGUAUUGUCAAACUUGAGACCAUGUUACAGUAACUUGCAAGUACAACAUAAUCAUUCCAUUCCUCAUCAAUUCAGUGAGGUAGAAGAGAAGCCUUGGCAGGUUCAACCACAAAGGAGUCAAGAACAGCACAAUGCUACAGAGGAACAGCUUACAGUAUAAUAUGAAGGCCUAAUGGGCAAGUUGACUGAAGUUUGCACACAAAGAGCUAAGAAACAUUGGGCUCUUCAUGAAGGCAGGAACAAAACAAUUUUGUUAUUGCGCUGGGCUAGACUUGGGUUUGUUUUAGAUGGAUGUUGUGGCACCUUCUCAGAAAUGCACCUUGAGAAGAUGGCGCAAGGAGGAGCUGUGAGGACAAGUCAAUCACUGUAUUGAGACUGGAGACCAAGUUACAAUAAGUUGCAGGUUCAACGUAAUCAUUCCAUUUCUCAUCAUUCAGCGAGGUAGAAGAACAGCCUUGGCAGAUUGAACUACAAAGGAAUCAAGAACAGCACGGUGCUACAGAGGAACAGCUUACAGUACAAUAUGAAGGCCUAAUGGGCAAGUUGACUGAAGUUUACACACAAAGAGCUAAGAAACAUUGGGCUCUUCAUAAAGGCAGGAACAAAACAAUUUUGUUAUCGUGCUGUGCUCAAGGGGAGGAAGAAGAGAAUAAUUAACAUUUACUAUAUAUAUGCGUGAAUAUAUGGCCAAAGCGUAUGAUCGAUUGGAAUGGGUAUAUCUCGGGGAGAUCAUUUUAAAGCUCAGUUUUGAAGAAGGUUGGGCGCAAACAGUCAUGAAAUGUGUGGAAGCAGUCUCCUCCUCGCCUCCUCGGUGCAAAUUAAUGUCCAAUUUUCUUAAUUUAUCAAGCCAACAAGAGGAAUACACCAAGGAGAUACAAUUUCUCCCUUUUUCCUUCUGUCUGCGGAAGGACUGAUCAGUUUCUUGAAGUAGAAAGGGCCUAGCUACUUAGCUAAGGUUAUCAUGGUUCGAUUCCAUGCUUCUUGGCCGUCACACCUACUGUACGCUGAUGAUUGCCUGGUCUUUUAUCAAGCCUCUGCCACAGGAGCCGCAAGGCUGCAGGAGAUGCUUGAGAUAUGCAGCAAAUGGUCUGGCCAGCAUGUGAAGAUAUUUAAUAAGCUAUAGUUUUUAAGUGCAAAUUGUAGGCUGAAGUACAUAGAGAAGCGGACAUCGGGCUCAAGCUCAUGUUGAGAAGCAUUUCUGAAGAUCAAACACUUACUCUUUGUUGAUUCGCUGAAUUUAGGUGGAUGGGUUUCAUUGUCAGAAAUGAACAAGGUGGAGCUGGAGCUGGAUCCAUCAUUUUUCUUUCUUUCGAGAAUGACGAUCCAUCAAAUUUCAAACCUGAAGCUGCCAGACAGAGUUGGCUCCAGGAGAUGUCGAGUCGGUCUGUCAGUGGCCUACGUUGGAGUUAAAUGUAUAUAACCCCCUGAACUCCCAGAUUUGGAGUACAUCACCCCCUGGACUCAAUUUUGGCUCACUUAAUCCCCUAAAUCUGCACAAACCGGGCAAAGCACCCCCUGACGACUCUCCUGGUGGUUUGGGACGGCUGUUUUGCGGACGUGGAAAGGGGCCGGUGCCAUGUAGGCUUGGACCUGGUGGACUCGGUGUAGUUGCGACCAGACCAUCUCGAUUCCAUCGAGUGCCCACCUUUUUUCCUUCCUCUCUCCCUCUCCCUCUCUACAGGCGACGCCGCCGGCGAUUUGAGCGACCACGACGGCGAUGGUGAGGAGCACCGGCAUGCCCUGAAGGAUCUCACCGACGGCGGCCAUCAGGUGUAAGGCAUGGAUCCAUUGGAUUAUCUCUCUGUCAGAUUUCCUUCAGGUGUAAGGCAUGCAAAAUCAGUGCAGAUGAUGGCAAGUCAUGUCACUGAUGCUGGUGUACUGGAUAUCUAUGCUACUGUGCCUAGAGAUGUUAGUUCAGAAGCAAGUGGUUGGAAGGAACAACUAUCAGCAAAACAAGCAAGUUUAGAGACUGAAACACUGCACAUUCAGGCAAGACAAACAGAGCAAACAGAGAAUAUUCAGAGAGAAGAAACAUGGCAUGUUCAGAGAGAGGAAACAGAGGAAAUUCAGCAGUGUGGCAAGGUGUCAAAACUACCAGUUUUCAGGCCUUAAAAAUCAUUUGUGGCUACUGCAGAUAGUGAUAGUGACAGUGAUUAUGAUGUUCCUCCAACAGAGAGCAACAGUUCCGCAGAUGAUGAUGAGGUGAUUGAGUACAGAAAAUAUGCUCAAGAAUUCAAGGAGAACAAAAGAAAGAAGAUGCUUGGGGAAGAAAAUGGAAAGACUUGCAAUGUGCUAAACAGUUUUAUUGUCCCAGAAACAUGUAAGGAACGGAGGAAGUAGAUGAAAGUGAUGGAGAUGAAACACCAUAUUUUGAGAGUGAUGAUGAUAUGUCCUAUGACGAGGGUAGUGAUGGAGAAGUCAGUGUUGUCCGGAGCCUCUACGUUGUGAAGCCCUGGCACUACUUGAAGCUGUGCAAAUCACUUCAGCGAUGGGAGCUCGCAAUGGAUGCAUUUCUCUGUUUUUAAAAUUUGUAAUGGAAUGAAAGAGAGACGCAAUUUACACUUGUGUAACUGUUCCAGAAGCACAAUUUACUACAUGAUUUGUACUAA